ACGAACAGAGAGACACAAACACAUGAGUGAAAGAGAAAUCGCAUCUGAUCAGCGACGCAUGCACUGACUUAUGGACAUCCAAAUAACAGUUUGAGAGUGCGUGCGUGAUUUAAACACAAACAUCUGAAGAACAGCGAGUCUCGAAGCGACGAUUGCAGGAGAAAUAAAAGAGGAUGAAAUAAAAACAAAAGAUGAAAUCGUAGAUGCGCGGAACCGUUCUGUCAGAGGAGACGCGGGAAGCGCGCGCAGGUUCGUGCAGGGCGGGAGCGCGCGCUCUCCUGUGACAGGUGAGUCUGCAGGUAUACAGGUGAGACUUCAGGACUUUUAAAAACAUAACGGUGCAGUGAUGUUCUUGCCGUGAUUCAUGUUAUUUUCCAGUCGAAACUGAAAGAAUGAAACGCAUCGGCGAGAUUUCGGAGGGAUUCCGACACAUUUAAGGGCGUGAAUGCGCUUCUCUCUCUGCAUUCUUUCAUUCUUUCAUUCUUUCUUCUGCUGUGAUUCACGCUUUAGUGCUGAAGUGUUCAGAGGGAGACACUGCUUCUGCUCGGAUAAUGAAGACAUCAGCUCUGAUUCAUGCUUUUGUUCAACAUCACUGUAAUCUAUAAUCAAUCAGAGCUGCGACGUGAUUGGCUGAAUUCCUGCUACUGUACAUCUGAGAGGAAGAUCCAAUCAGACAGCACUUCAUCUGCAUAUUUGACAAACUCACAGUUAUCUGAACGAGUGACUAAUCAGUUUAAGGAAACAUUGAAUAAUUAGGCUGGUUUGGGUUCAGCUGAUCUGAUCGUCUACAUAAGACAAGUUCAAACAGCAACACUCGACUAUUUUAACAUGAUAUCUAAAAAUUCACCCUGUGUGUUUUUCUAAAUGAUCUUACUGUGAAUGAUCAGUUUCAUUAUUUUGACAAUUAUAAUUUAUAAUCAGAAGUCAAUCCUGCAUCUUUCAGUGAAACGACAGUUUUCCCUCUUGUGAAGUUUGCAGGAUUCUCCAAUCAUUUCGUCUGGUUUAAACUCCGCCCCUUCACUGCAUUCAGCCCCGCUUCCAGUUGUGAGUGCCACGCCCAUGUCUCAACAUCCAAUCAACAACCUGCAGAGAGAACCAAGUUUCCACCCUACAUGUUUUAUUUGUCACUCAGAAUACAGAAAUUAAAAAAAAAAAAAAAAAAAAAAACCCUUUCCUUUUGUCAUAACUUUAAAAACGCAACAUUCAAAAACAUCAGUCUGAGUGUGUCUGGCUGUAACGACAGCGGAUUAAUUUCAAGAGAAAACUGUAAUCACAGCACACUGUCAGCAUGAUAUAAUAAAAAAAUGUGAAAGUAAAAAGUAAAUAAACUUUUCAACUAUCCCUGAUUUACUGUACAAUAACUUCUGCACACAAAAAGAUCAGGAUGUUCUGUGUGGAUCAGAACUAGAAAAAUAAUGUAAUGAUGAAGCAUGAACUUCAGCACCUGUUGGGCUCAGUGUGUGUGUGUGUGU
Long non-coding RNA from Ctenopharyngodon idella (grass carp), 1472 nucleotides. RefSeq lists it as uncharacterized. The record is from RefSeq and is a predicted model, not a curated record. The transcript has 3 exons. Lineage: Eukaryota; Metazoa; Chordata; Actinopteri; Cypriniformes; Xenocyprididae.